Molecule: long non-coding RNA, 2248 nt
Organism: Tympanuchus pallidicinctus (lesser prairie-chicken)
Lineage: Eukaryota; Metazoa; Chordata; Aves; Galliformes; Phasianidae
Exons: 2
Source: RefSeq, a predicted model, not a curated record
GGCGGAGGGCAGCCGACACCGCCCAGAAGGCAUCAGAGCUCCGGCUCCAAGCCGGAGCGUGCCUCGAGCAUCGCUGUGGAAGCCCGCGGCCGCCCCCUCCCGAGCUCCGAGCCGUCCCCUAAAGUUUAUUUUUAGCCCCCGGAAAGCGCUAUAAAGGUCCCGCAGAGCGAGCGGGACUGGGAGACGUGGCAUCGUGCUGCCUGCAGCCACUUCUCUGAACUGUUACCUUCAAAAUGAAGAGAACAAAGAACGCCUUGGAAAAAUCCAGUCGUAACAUCUGAGGAAUAGAAAUAAUAGGAAAUACUUGUAAGGUCAGAAUUUGGAUGGAAUUUAUGGAAAGUUACAAAGGGCCCUAUUACAGUUGAAUCUAGAUUUGGGAAUUUUAAUUUUAUACUUAAUAAAGAUAUCAGUGCAUCUUUUCCUCUACUUUGGAUGAUAAUGCAUUCUGCUGUCUUCAGCCUUGCACAACUUUCUUAUACCAACUAACGUACCUUCAGCUUAAUUCUUUAGUUGUUAGACCUAAGACACCUCCUCACACCAAGCUAGAGCAUGAAUUUAAUAAACCAUUUGUUGUUCCUCUCUGUUUGAUGGUCCAUAAUUAGAAAUAUUAGAGCCCUGCAUUUCUAAUCCCCAGCAGAACAAGUGGCAUUUGACUAAAAGGUAUACAACCUUAUCACCUUAUCACUUAUGCCAAAAGUACAUAAUAUCGAGCUCAUGUGCACUUAAGGCUUUCUGUGCUAAGUAGAGGUGAUACUUAGCCUAACUCCUACAUUUGUAGAAUUAAAACAUGAUAAUUUUUAGAAGAGUUCUUACUUAACUAAUUGUGUAGACAUCAUACGUGGGUAAUAUUUCUGUGACACUGAUGUAGCAUUAAGAGCCCUAAGUCAAAUUUUGUCCAUGAAAACAUACAAAACAGUCAGUGAGUGCCAGACAAUGAGAAGUACUGUGUGAGAAGAGACAGCACCAAUGGAAGUCUAAUCCCUUUUUCCUCUGUUGCCCAUACACUCUGUUCAGUUGCCUGCAGAGAAAAACCUAGGUGGUAUUAUUUACAACUGAUCUUUUUAGGCUAAAACUAUUAAAACAAAAUGCCAAGCAACUUGAAAGUUUCUAUAGAAAUAUUGAUAGGCAGACAAAAGAGAAAAGAAAUUAAAGCUGAUGAUUAUUUAUCACUGAGAAACACACACACAAAACAGCCUUUUGAGUUUACUUUCCUGAUUUUAAAUACUAAAACAUGCACCUCAAAGUCUGUUUUUCUGUCUUGCUAGUCUUAAUUCAUGGCAGAACAGACCAAUAGUAGUGUAAGGAGGCGCCUAUUUCAUUCUAGGUUUGAAAGGAAACCCAACAAGCAGCUCUACAAAGUUGGUUUUUUUGUUUGUUUUUGUUGUUGUUGUUUUGCAUCCUGGCACUUCUGAUUUAGUAGCUGCUCCUCCUGUCUGCGUUUGAGGUCAAACAUUUAAGUGUUGAAUAAAUGUAAGGGAGGUUUCUCUACCAAGUAUCAUUUACAAGAGCAGAUGCUGCAGGCUGUGAAUUAGGGAUAGUGGAUAUUAGUCUCACAUCAUCUAUUGACUGCUAUUAAAAACCUUGUUUACAUCUAAUCCCUGCCCCAAAUCCCUCCCAUAUGGUACUCAAGUACCAAUUUCUUAUGUUUUCCAAAGGUCACAUAUCAUCAGCACCAAGAAAAGACCACAGGUCCUCUGACACAGCACCACCACUGUGCAAAAUCUGUGUUGAGUUAAACUCUCUACAGACAUACUUUCAGCUUUUAUGCUGUGCUUUGUCCCAAAGUGGUGCUCAGAACAAAGGCAUUCCAUUUCCUAAGCAGUUGAAAACUUAGCUAGCAAAGUAAAGUGCACUUAUUCAUUGCAGGCAGUCCAUUUAAAUAUGCAUAGCUAUCUUCUAUGUGUUUCUUCUAUUUAAAUAAUCUGCAUAAAUCAGCCUGCAUCGUAGCUUUGUCAGCUGCUGAUAUUCAACAAUGAGAGGAAGUAGAAAGCAGUAGAAUUAAUAUCCACUGGGUGAUCGUAGUUCCGGCCUAACGUCGGAGUGUUUGACUAAUUGAUUGCCCUUAGCAUUCUGCUAACAACAGAUGUAUGGUAUGAGUUAAAUUAUUAAAUUUAUAUUGCUCUUAUUGCUUCCCAUAGCCUGAAACAGUUGUCAUUAUUGAAAUUAUUUAAAUCAGAAACAUUGUAUUCAAAAAUGUUUUAAUUGAUUUUCUUAAUUUUUGUUAAUAAAAACUGCUCUAUUAAAAGUA